Molecule: ribosomal RNA, 468 nt
Filed under: uncultured bacterium
Lineage: Bacteria
Description: bacterial SSU rRNA
Rfam family: Bacterial small subunit ribosomal RNA
Source: RNAcentral
ACGAACGCUGGCGGCAUGCCUAACACAUGCAAGUCGAACGGAGAUAGCAAUAUCUCAGUGGCGAACGGGUGAGUAACACGUGAGCAACCUGCCCUUUACUCAGGGAUAACAGUUGGAAACGACUGCUAAUACCGGAUAAGACCACGCCGAGGCAUCUCGGAGGGGUCAAAGUGCUUUAGCGGUAAAGGAUGGGCUCGCGUCCAAUUAGCUAGUUGGUGAGGUAACGGCCCACCAAGGCGACGAUUGGUAGCCGACUUGAGAGAGUGAUCGGCCACACUGGAACUGAGACACGGUCCAGACUCCUACGGGAGGCAGCAGUGGGGAAUAUUGGGCAAUGGGCGAAAGCCUUACCCAAGCAAUGCCGCGUGAGUGAUGAAGGUCCUUUGGAUUGUAAAGCUCUUUGAUUAGGGACGAAUAAAUGACGGUACCUAAAGAACAAGCCCCGGCUAACUAUGUGCCAGCCGCAGC